Molecule: ribosomal RNA, 415 nt
Filed under: uncultured microorganism
Description: bacterial SSU rRNA
Rfam family: Archaeal small subunit ribosomal RNA
Source: RNAcentral
GUGCACCAGGCGAGAAACCUUCGCAAUGCGGGAAACCGCGACGAGGGGACUCCCAGUGCCUACGCUCAGCGUAGGCUGUUCCCGAGCCUAGAAAGCUCGGGGAGUAAGGGCUGGGUAAGACGGGUGCCAGCCGCCGCGGUAAUACCCGCAGCCCGAGUGGUGGCCACUAUUAUUGGGCCUAAAGCGUCCGUAGCCGGCCCGGUAAAUGCCUGGGUAAAUCGUGAGGCCUAACCUCACGAAUUCCGGGUAGACUGCCGGGCUAGGGACCGGGGGAGGGAGAGGGGUACUCCAGGGGUGGGGGUGGAAAUCCUGUAAUCCCUGGAGGACCACCGGUGGCGAAGGCGCUCUCCUAGGACGGGUCCGACGGUGAGGGACGAAAGCCAGGGGAGCGAACCGGAUUAGAUACCCGUGUAGU